AUUUAGCCCCCAGCGACUAUUGGCUGUUUCCAAACUUCAGGGAAAGAGAUUUCGAUCAAAUGAAGAAGUUGAAUGGGAAACAGACGCAUAUUUUGAAGGACUUUCUAUCGAUCAUUUUUCGAAAGGCAUCAAAAUGUUAAAAGACCGUUGGGAAAAGUGUAUCGCCCUAGAAGGGACCUAUGUUGAAGAAUAAAAUGAAUUUUGGUUGCAAAAAUUGUUUUCACCUUUUCACCUUAUGAAAUUUUGGACCAUGCAGUAGGGCGCACUUUAAGUUAAAAAUAAUUUAACGACUUGAUUAGUAGGGCCCACUUCAUCGGUAAGCUGAGUAAAUUGCGCUAAGUUAUUAAAUUAAAUAUUUAUAAAAAAUAAUUGUACGUUUUAUUAAUUUUCUUUUUUGGGUUACUCUGAAUUUACUGAAUUUUCAAGACGAAUAUUCGGCGCCAGAAAUUUAUCAGACUGCAAACGAAUUGCAAACAAUUUCGUCCAAAUAAACUUGAAAAGAAAUUAUCGAAGCAAAGUUGCACGAGAAACCCAAAGAGCAGCAUAAUGCCAAUUGAAAAAAAAAGCCGCGAGCAGCAGCAGGAACAACGAAAAGUGAACAAAAAUAACAAGAACUGCGAUUGUAAUUUCGAAAGAAAAAUGUGCCAGAGUUAAUGGGGAAAUUGGAGGAGCACGAAAGGCAA
Anastrepha ludens (Mexican fruit fly) is the source of this 683-nucleotide long non-coding RNA. RefSeq lists it as uncharacterized. Lineage: Eukaryota; Metazoa; Arthropoda; Insecta; Diptera; Tephritidae. The record is from RefSeq and is a predicted model, not a curated record. The transcript has 2 exons.